Molecule: long non-coding RNA, 4463 nt
Organism: Falco peregrinus (peregrine falcon)
Lineage: Eukaryota; Metazoa; Chordata; Aves; Falconiformes; Falconidae
Exons: 3
Source: RefSeq, a predicted model, not a curated record
AUCUCGUCCUAACAGAUUAAAUUCUGCUUCAGGGACGAGCAAGAGUUCACCCAUUCCAAAUUUAUUUUCAGUUUCGAAUACCACAUUUUUGAUUUUGCUUACUUUAAAGGGUUCUCCUUUUGCCCCAAUUACUUGUACUUUUUUCAGGGGAAGCUUUACAUCCCUCAGGUAUUUGCUUAAUAGUCGAUUUCUCAGCUCCAGUGUCUACUAAAAGGGUGAACCCUUGUUUAUGGGGACCUAUUUUUAAUUUUAUCAAGGGCUCAUGAUGACUCCGGUCCCCUAAGAUAUAGAGCCCCUGACUCUCCUAUUCCGUUUUCAAUAUUUACUCAUCCCUGAUCCUUUCUCUGCAAUUCUUCUUUAUAUGUCCCUUCUUUCCACAGUAAAAACAACAUCCCUGUUCCUUCUUUACUACUACGUUCCCUUGUUUCUUUUCAGAUCUGUGUUCACCAGUCCGCCCUUUGUGAUUCUCUCUGACCACUGCUACCAUCAUUUUUACUUGUCGCUUGCUGCUCUCUUCUUCCCGCCUUACGUAGACUUUCUGAGCUUCCCUCAAUAAUUCAUCCAACCCUCUAUUCUGUCAGUCUUCUAACUUUUCAAUCUUCUUUCUGAUAUCUUCCCAUGAUUUUGCCACAAACUGAGUUUUGAGGAGCGCUUACCCUAAAGGGUUGUCUGGAUUUACCCCAGAGUACAGCUGAAGGGCUUUCCUCAGUCGUUCCAGCCACUUAGUAGGGCUUUCAUCUUUCUUUUGCAUUUCAUUAAAUGCUUUAUUGAUAUUCUGGCCACGGGGUACUGCUUCUCUAAUCCCCUGAAUUACUAUAGUUCUCAGGUCCUGCAUAUGAGUUCUAUGCACCGGAUCCUGAUUAUCCCAAUUAGGCCUUUGGAGUGGCCAUUUAAUAUCUGCUUGAGGUCCCUGGGCAUGUUGAGCAUCCCACAGUCUCAUUCCUGCUCGUCUAAUCAUAUCUCUUUCCUCGGUAGUAAAUAAUUGACCAAGGAUAGAUUGCAUCUCAUCCCAAGUAUAAAGGUUUGGUCCCAAAAAUUGAUUUAAUCUUUCUGCCACUCCGAGUGGGUCCUCAAUUAAGUUUCCCAUCUCGGUUCUUUUAAAAUCUCGUAGGUCAGCCGAGUUUAGGGGUACGGAAAUAUAUCCGAUCACAGGUUGAGGUCCCCCCAUGGGUAUUUCCCUUAAGGGGUACAUCUGAGCUGCCCCUUUUUGACUUCUAGUUACGCGUCUAGGAGGAGGGGGAGACCCUUGUUCCGACUCUGGUGGGGGAGUGGGCGCUCUGGGGACCUCUGGAGGGGCUGCGGGAGCAGGAGGAGGAAUGUAAGGAGGGGGGGUUAGAAGGGUUUCGUCUAACUCUUCCUUCUUUUUCCUUUGUUUAAUUUUUACUUCAUUCAGCGGGUAAAGUCUAGCUCCCGGUCUUUCUAGCCACACUUCCGCAUAUUGACUCUCCUCCGGGUUAAGGGGUUUUUUAUUAUUAACCCAGAGGUUUAAUUGCUGUCUUACCCAAUCUUCUUCUGACCCAUAGACUGGCCAAAAGACAUUUUUAGAAAUCUUCUUCCCUCCCCAUAUCUUAGUACAAUAUUCUGUCAUCUUCUGCUUAUCUUUCCCUAGGGUUCCAGGGAAAUAUCUCCAAUUGUCUAAGAUAUAUGCCAGAGGGGUAUUCUUAGGUACAGUGGGUACCCUUCCCAUGGGAGUCGAAGGCUUGCUGCCCUUCGCCCCCAUCUUCUGGAAUAUCCACAAACAUACACUCACUCGCUCCCCUUGUUCCUGGCCCAGUCCCUCGCGGGAGAUGGGAGACGCAGUACUUAAGAGUCCACACUCGCUUGGUUCAGUAUAUCGAACCUCUCACUCGUUAUAUUCCAGGAAACCCAAUCCCGCCCGAACGGCAAACCCGCGAACAAAUUCGCAAUAUACUUAUGCGUCCUGCGUCUUCGUCCGGACUCCCGUGCACAGAAUUUUAUGGGAUUUUACCGGUUUCUCCUUUGCUCAUUAUUCUAGAAUUUAGGUUCGUCGGUAAGGUUGAGGUAGGCUGUCGGUCACGGGGCCGCGGAUUGUCGCAGGGCGCCUCCCCGGAGGACGGAAGCCCACCGUUCCUUAUCCGAGUCACGGCACCAGGAAUUGUUAUAAAUUGAGACCACAAUGGAUCAUAAUCCAAUUAAAAUUUUAUUAAUUAUAGCAAGUAGAAUAUGAGCAAAGACAGCGCUGGACGGCAGGGGAGUCUGCGCUCCGCCAACUGCCGUACUGAGCAGUUCAAACAGUCCCUUUUUAUACAUCUUUACUUCCGUGUUCAUGAGGUAGUGGAGGUACUCUGCGCAUGCUUCAGUUGUUGUUAGGGGGUCGUUUUCUGCCUCCUGGUGGUCGUUGAGGCCGAAGUAAGAAGUCUUCCUCCUUUGUCCCAUAGUUGACCCCUCACUCAUAUGUCCUUAUAUGGGGUUGUUUGUCCUGUUUCUGUCGGUUCCUGGACAUCUGGCGGUUAUCUUAUCUUGCACAAGCGGUAUCUGGUUUAGUUUGUGUAAGCGAUUGCGGUUAUCCUAUCUUACACAAGCGGUGUCUGGUUUAGUUUGCAUAAGCGAUUUCAUAUCUUUUGUUGCCUAACCUUUACAUUGGGCUUAACAUAAAUCUUAAUAAACAAUACCCUAGUCCAUAGUUUCUUACACAGCCAAAACUCUCUGUUCAGCCAGGCCAGUCUUCUUCCCCACUAGUUUAUCUGUUGCCACAUGGGGAAGGCCUGGUCCUGCGCCUUUAUGACUUGCUUCUUGAAGAACGUCCGGUCUUCCUGGACCUCUUGGCCCUUCAGAACUAUCUCCCAAGGGACUCUGUCAACCAGGCUCUUAAACAGGUCAAAGUCUGCCCUCCAGAAGUGCAAGGUAGCGGUUCUGCUGACCUCACUCCUUCCUUCUCUGAGAACUGAGAAGUAUCAUCUUGUGAUCUCUAUGUCCAAGACAUCCUCCAACCACCACAUCACCCAUCACUCCUUCCCUGUUUGUAAACAGCAGGUCCAGCAGGUCAUGUCCCCUGGUUAGCUCACUGACCAGCUGUGUCAGGAAGUUAUUUUCCACACACUCCAGGAACCUCCUAGACUGUUUCCUAUCUGCUGGUAUUAGGAAUAAUCCACAAAAGUCCUGUCUUUCAUGUCUGAACAUGAAAAAUUCUGUCAAGCAAAACCAUGCAGUGUGAUUACUCCUUACGUAGUUCUGGUCCUCCCCUGUCACUUCAUAUUUUAAAUUUUUUGGGAGCAGAUCAUACAAGGUGGUCAUUCCUCAGGUGUCCUUGAUUUGGGUUUCUGCCUGCCAUGGUGCAUCUCUGAGCUCCUCUGGGCUUGUACUGAAUGAUGAAUGAUGUACUACUUAUCUAUAGGAUGAUGUACUUAUGUUUAUCUAAAAGUUGGGAAACAUCCAAGGACCCUUAUUGCUAACAUGACAGAUGUACAUUUGUCAUCUUUAAAAAGGCUAUCUGGUCCUAAGUUCCUGUUGUUUAUGCAACGUGGCAAAGACAAGGACUUAAAUCACGGUCACUAGUUUAGUGAGAUAUGUAAAUGAGUUCCUGGAAUUGUAAUGAAUAUGUAAAUGAUUUCCUGGAAAGUUAAUGAAUAAGUAUGAGUUGCUUGUAUAAAGAGGGGACUGAAAAAUCCCCUCGGUGUGCAUGACUUUGGUGGAGCGAUCCCCCAUGCACCCAGUGCUGCCAAAUAAAGAUAACCUCUGCUCGCUCAUAUAUUGGUGACUGAUUCUUUAAAUCAAUUUGGCGACCCAGAUGGGGCCUGCUCUGCUUGGCUGCAGGACCCAUUGAGAGCGGGGACUCCCUAGGGUACCCCCGGGGAUUUUCCCGGAGGGGCUCCUCAUCACAUCUGGAUCACUGCAGGAGCAGACAAGGACUCCAUCUUGCGGAGCAAAGCCAGGAGAAUUCUCCACCAGUGCUGGAAUCCAGGGGCCUGGGGACCCUCAGGGCCCCCAACUGCAUCUUCUGUCAGCAAGAUUCCCCUACCCCUCGGCUUCUCACACAGGUGGACAAGGACUUCUGCACAACAUAAAAGACUCCUCCAUGAAGAAUAAUGUCUACUGUGAAAGAGUCUGUUGAUUUCAGGUGCCCAGCUGAGUUUUCAGAACACUUUACACAUGCUGGAUGAAUUUCAUUGCAUGCUUCAGAGCUCAGAUAUUUCAGAGAGGAACCCAGAUAAUGAUGAACUGAUAAUUAGCAAGUAAGAAUGUAACAUAUGCUUUGAGUUGCUCAGUAGCACAUGAGAACCACACAAGGAAGCCAGGAAUGGAAUUCAGAGCUCUUGCACUGCAAGCAGGAAUCCCUCCUUCUUCUUCCUCCCAUUCCAUUUACAACAUGUUCUUCCUAUUCUGCAAAACUGAGACAGGCCCUGAACAGAGGUCUUGUUUCAAAAGUUAAAGUGCUUUUACUGUUCAGAUGUGACCCAUCAGCACAGCAGAGAUGAAUGUAAAAUAGAAGUCCAGUGGAAAAG